AAGUCAGUCAAACCAGUCAAGCGGACAAGAAAGAGGGACUCAGAUCACCUGGAAUUAUGGCAAUGUCUUGCAAGGAUACUUCUGAAAAUCGGGUGUCACGGGAAGCUGAACUUUGCAUCCCAGUUCUGAAACAUACAGCAACCUCAUGGAGACAGAUGCAUCACUCGGCAUUUUGGGGUGGUAGCAAGUUCAGUGACCUGCCAGAUUUCUUAGCAUUAACUUGAAAGAGAAGACACUUAUUUGAUUUGAUUUGAUUUCUACUAGUCAAGUGGGCACCUGGAUUAAGCAGACUCUCCCCCCAGGCACCCCAGAGGCCUCUGACAUCCCUUAUGUCCAGCCCAGACACGGCCUUUCUGUGGCCUCAGCGUAUCUGCCCAGUCCAAUCGGCUAUAGCCAGAAUAAAAAGGGAGGAAGAUCCAAGAGAGGGAAGGAGGCUUUCCCAGCUACUUUCCUGCUAACCAGGGCAGAGGCUGGUCUGCAUCCCCCUAUCCAGGUGGCCCCUGCAGUCAUGGCUUUUCUGCUUCUAGAAGCCAUCCCUGAGAACAUCAUUGCAGAACUCAAAAUACAUUGCAUCAUACAAAAUGAAGUGGAGAAUUAAGGUAAUUAUCCAAUUAUUAAAAACCAUUUCUUAUUCGUUAGCUAAA
Long non-coding RNA from Pan troglodytes (chimpanzee), 644 nucleotides. RefSeq lists it as uncharacterized. The transcript is spliced from 3 exons. Lineage: Eukaryota; Metazoa; Chordata; Mammalia; Primates; Hominidae. The record is from RefSeq and is a predicted model, not a curated record.